RNA transcript from Salvia splendens (bonfire salvia), 1107 nucleotides. RefSeq lists it as uncharacterized. The record is from RefSeq and is a predicted model, not a curated record. Lineage: Eukaryota; Viridiplantae; Streptophyta; Magnoliopsida; Lamiales; Lamiaceae. The transcript has 5 exons.
AACGAAUUAAAUUUGGUGUUUUGAAUUGGGUGACGUGGGCAAAAGUGGAAGAGAGUAUCCAAAUAGGCAGUGGCGAAUGCAAUCUAAGCACCUCAGCAAUGGCGUCGGCGCCUGCUUAUUCCUUUCCCCAUUGAUCGAUCGAUCAAUUAACCACUAAUUGAUGAGACGAUGCGUUGUUGUUGUGGAUUAGGAUCUCGCCGGUGGAUUUCCAACUACGACAAGCUCCAUCGCUUAGCCCUCAUCCUCAUCUACGCUCAGAUUGGCUGCUCUCUCCUCGGAUCGCUCUCCCCUCUCUACAAUGGCGUCCUCAUCCUCCACUUAGGGGUUUCUCUCUUCGGCCUCGUCGCCGUCGAGAGCAGCAAUCAGAGCCUCGCUCGCACCUACACCUUCCUCCUCUUCUGCUCCUUCUUCCUCGACCUCUCAUGGUUCUUCCUUUUCUCUCACCAAAUCUGGCAUUUUCCUUCUGGUGUGUACGGAACCUUUGCAUCCUACGCUGUGAAGCUGACACUGGUGGUGCAGAUUGCCGGAGUUUCAGUGAGGUUGUUAUCAUCCUUCUUAUGGAUUCAGAUUUACAGGCAGGGUGUUUCUAGCGCGGACGGCUCAGCUGCCAGAGAUGCCGAUGCCGAUUUGAGAUUUAAUUGCCUCAACUCGGCUACUCAUGUUGUUCGACAUCCCUACGAUGUGAUCGACGAUGCGUAUGAUCCUGCUAAUUUCCUGCCUCUUUUUGGAGAUCGCGCCAGAGAUGACUCCUCUCGAUAUGGGGCUAUUCAAAACGGCGACUCAUCUGUAGGAGACUCUGCUGGAACUUCUCAGCCGCAUUCAUACAAAAGUUCUGAUGUUUUCAUGUUAAGAUAAUGAUCAGAAAUGCUUGAGAUGGUUUGAACUAAUGGUGAUGGUUACUUUCUCCGUUCAUUCCAUCCUCAUAUUUUUUUAUUUUUUUAUUCAAUUAAAGAUGGGUCCAGGACCACAUUCUCACAUUGUUCUUUUUCGAUGAAAGAAGGCCUGCAACUAUUAAAUGAUAAAUAAACAAAAAUAAUAUUUUGAAACAUAAUGAUUAUACCAAGAGUGUAUAACAUUGAAGGUGGUAUGGAUUUUUAAACAAUGUUA